AGUUUGAUCCUGGCUCAGAUUGAACGCUGGCGGCAUGCUUUACACAUGCAAGUCGAACGGCAGCGGGGGUGCUCGCACCUGCCGGCGAGUGGCGAACGGGUGAGUAAUGUAUCGGAACGUGCCUGAUAGUGGGGGAUAGCUCGGCGAAAGCCGGAUUAAUACCGCAUAAUAUCUACGGAAGAAAGCAGGGGACCUUUUAGGCCUUGCGCUACCAGAGCGGCCGAUAUCAGAUUAGGUAGUUGGUGGGGUAAGAGCCUACCAAGCCUGCGAUCUGUAGCUGGUUUGAGAGGAUGACCAGCCACACUGGGACUGAGACACGGCCCAGACUCCUACGGGAGGCAGCAGUGGGGAAUUUUGGACAAUGGGGGCAACCCUGAUCCAGCGAUGCCGCGUGCAGGAAGAAGGCCUUCGGGUUGUAAACUGCUUUUGUCAGGGAAGAAAUAUCGGGUGCUAAUAUCACCUGGAGAUGACGGUACCUGAAGAAUAAGCACCGGCUAACUACGUGCCAGCAGCCGCGGUAAUACGUAGGGUGCGAGCGUUAAUCGGAAUUACUGGGCGUAAAGGGUGCGCAGGCGGUAUUGUGUGACUGAUGUGAAAUCCCCGGGCUUAACCUGGGAACUGCAUUGGUAACUGCAAUGCUUGAGUACGGUAGAGGGGGGUAGAAUUUUGCGUGUAGCAGUGAAAUGCGUAGAUAUGCAAAGGAAUACCGAUGGCGAAGGCAGCCCCCUGGACCUGUACUGACGCUCAUGCACGAAAGCGUGGGGAGCACCAGGAUUAGAUACCCUGGUAGUCCA
This 794-nucleotide ribosomal RNA is filed under the name uncultured Burkholderiales bacterium. Its description in RNAcentral is "bacterial SSU rRNA". It matches the Rfam family "Bacterial small subunit ribosomal RNA", at positions 10 to 797 of the family's 1533-position model. The record is from RNAcentral. Lineage: Bacteria; Pseudomonadati; Pseudomonadota; Betaproteobacteria; Burkholderiales.